GUUGCAGAUGAGAUUACUCCGAUAAAGUUGAUAACUUUGACUAAGUGCUUAUACUCUCAUGUUCGUACUUUAAUCUGUUAAUUCCAUUUUCAACUAUAUUGUUACAAGGCUUGCGUAUGUUGCUUUAAGUUAGGCUCUUCUUCCAUAUUUGGUAUGUUAGUUUCAUUUUUAACUAUAUCAUUUCCAAAUUUUAUUAAAUUAUCUUUAGUUUAUGUCCGUUUUUUAUCAUACUAAUCCAAUCCAUGGACAUGUUAUUUUCUAUUUAGACCCUCUAUUUUCUAUUUUUUUAAUGUGUUGUUUUCAUCCUUAAUUGUGUUGUUUCUUCCAGAUUAUGCCCUGUCAUGUUCACAUUUUGAUAUGCUGGAAUUGUAUGUAAACUUUAAGAUGUUGCUUUGGAUUUUCAUGGAUACAUUGCUACAUGUCUUAUUUCCUGUAGUGGUUAUCUCAUUUAGACUAAAAGUAUCAUUCUUUACAAUUUCUAUGAAUGUAUAUGUUGAUCGUAAGUAAAUGAGCUUCAAAGGAAGCUCUGUGAAUGAGCGAACUUAGAGAGAGAGGGACAACAAAACAGAGUAAGGUUAUGCAACAGUCUUUGUUUUGCAAGUUUCAAAAAGACUG
RNAcentral lists this long non-coding RNA (615 nucleotides) under Carica papaya (papaya). RNAcentral's name for it is "long non-coding RNA (CPAP_LNC009490)". The record is from RNAcentral. Lineage: Eukaryota; Viridiplantae; Streptophyta; Magnoliopsida; Brassicales; Caricaceae.